This is a long non-coding RNA of Amphiprion ocellaris (clown anemonefish), 2747 nucleotides long. RefSeq lists it as uncharacterized. The record is from RefSeq and is a predicted model, not a curated record. The transcript has 3 exons. Lineage: Eukaryota; Metazoa; Chordata; Actinopteri; Pomacentridae.
AGCAACAGAAAGCAGAACGUCCUCUCUUCUCUGCAGCUCCAUGUGUCAUCAUGACGCAGAACAAAAUGUGAUUCAUGUAAAUCAUCCACUGCAGCGACGUUGUUGACCUUUAAUCGUUCUGAAGUCGGGAAGUUGUGUUUGUUUGUUUUUUUGUUUUUUUUUCUGGGCUUGCCAGGGGGCGGAUCUCCACAGCUGGAGGCAGCAGAGCGACGCUUCAGUCUCUUCAUACGGCAACACCGCGAUGUCUUGGAUCAAACUCCUGCUUUUUGCCACCUGUGCAGAUCUUCAGACAUCACCAGAAGGCAGCAUUCAGAGGCAGCAGAGUUUAUUGUCAACAAAAUCCCCCAGAGAAGUUCUGAGCAGCAGCUAGAAUCACCAGAUCCUCUGUGAUCUGGAAGUUGUAAUGUGACUCGCUGUCAGACCAAGAGGGCUACCAGAGCAGCUCUGGUGGCAGCCUGAGUGGCUCUGAGUCCCCCACGCUGGACACCACCUGCCGCCUUCCCAUCUCUGAUGACUAGACUGCACGCAUCCACCAGUGACACAAAGAGAACAUGGCACUCCCCUCUACCUCUGCCCCUUCUACAGCUUCCCUGUCCUCCUCUACACAAGAUACUGUUAGUUCCUCAAUAGAAUUCUAAGGAUGUAAUCAAUUAAGGGAACCCGACUCAAAUUAUCAUUUCAUCCCGGCUAAUCUGCACAGCAAGUUUUAAAAAGUACCCUGUCAUGUGUCAUAGUGCCAAAAAGGAGAGGAAAUUGAACAAUGAAAAUCAUGAGAACAAGAAUUGACUGUUUUCCCAGGUGCCACUUGUUUUUUUUUUCUUUCUUCUUCAUUUGUUCGUGAAUGUGUAGCAGCACAAGUGGCCUUGGAAAGGGGAGUGCAUUGCACUAGCCCCUCCCCCCCGAUGAUACCACUUCCCCUGAGCUAGCUAGAGGGUGCUCACUAAUGUAACUGUAGCUUACCACAGACGUUUUACAGACUGAGUUAAGACAAAAAGGAAAAAAAAAUAAAAAAUAAGACCCUGAAAAUAUAUGAAUAGUUUUUUUUAAAAAAAAUAAUAAUAAGAAAAAAGUGCCUGGGGCGGUUUCUGCAUGUGUUUAGGGUGAAUGGACUAUUGUUUGUUUAUGAUUCUUUCUCAUUUGCCCCCCCUCACCCCCUUUUAUCGUCAUGGUUCUCCUCAAACCCCGGUUUAUGUAAUUGUGAUCUGGGUGAGUCUGCAGGAAGGACUUUGAACUGGAAGUUGGUUAUGUCCUCCUCCUCCUCCUCCUCCUGUUUUCUCCUCCUGUUGCUGGUCACUGGCUCUUUUUUGUUGUUGUUUGGGAAGGAAGUCUCGAUAUCAAGCUGAUCAUUAAACCUGUAAGACUUUGUCCUGCCCCCUGCCUCCAUUCGACACACACCUCCCUCUUCAUCCUCACCGAUCUGGGAAUUCUAGCAUUCCCAUGGUGCAGUUGUACAUCCUACAACUUGACAAGAUCGGAUCUCCAAGCUAUUUUACUUUACUUUCUCCCCCCCUCCAACUUUAGAACCUGCUCCAAGGAGCAUUCUGUACUCAUUACAUCUCUCUUUUUGCUUUCUUUAUUUGAUAAUUAUUUUUUAUUAAUGUUAUUAUUAUAGUUAUUAUUAUUUGAAAAACUUUACAGACAGAAGGUUUGCGUGUCACUGCUUAUUUAACUUAUCAGAACAUAUUUAUUGGUGAUCAUAUGCAUUUUUUGUUAAUUUUGUUUUUGUAUUUAUCUGGAUAAUGAACAAUAGGAUAUGUUUUCUUUUAUGUUAAAUUAUGAUCUUCCAUAUUAAUCUAAAGAUUGUGAAGACGUUUUUGUCAGUUUUCCUUUUCUCACAGUUUAAUAUAUUGUACUUCGAUGACUUUUGUUCUGCAACUACACUUUGUCAAAAUGAAACUUAAUUUCCCAGCCAGCAGGCAGAUGGGUUCCCCCACAUAAAGAGCCGGGUUCUGCUCCAGGUUUUUUUCCCUGUUAAAGGGUGUUUUACUGCCACUGUCUCCUUUUGGCUGCUCUGGGGGUUCAGGCAUAUGGGUUCUGUAAAGUGUCUUGAGACGAAUUGAAAUGAUAAACUUGUUGACAUUUUCACUUAUUUUUCUUAAGAAAUUUCAGGUUGUUCAUAAUGUUUUGUAAAAAGAUAGUUCAUUAAAUGUGAAUUUUUCUGUACUAAAACAAUAGGAAACAUUAGGAGUUGUUAUUUACAGGUUUUUAAGCUGUGCUUUUACUGGUCCGGCCCUUUGAGAUCAAACUGGGCUGAAUGUGGAUGUGAACUAAAAGGAGUUUGACACUCCUGGUUUAACACCAAAUCUCCUCCACCCAAGAGAGUUCAUGUUGGAGUUCCACAUCAUGUUUGCGCUGACAACGUUGGACACUUGUCUGUGAAAUAUGAAAUGUGAUUUGCUUCUUUGCGUCACUGAGGAAAGAAUUUCUUCCAGUUCACUGAAGUGUAAGUAUUUCCAUGUUAUGCUACCUUAUACUUGUAUUUUGUAGGCAAACAUUAAACUUUACAUUAUUCUAAGGCUUUAAAUACCAGCUAUUUUACAGAUUUAAACUUUGAUAUUAUAUUCUAAUAAAUUAAACCACCCAGCAGUGUAUAAAGUUGAUGAAAUGAGCUCCAGCUGCAUCAUUAACGUGAUUUUACACAUUAAUGAACCAAUUUAUGAUCCAGAAAUGGGUCAUUCUGGGUAAAGAGAAGUUUUAAUUGUGGAGUUUUAACACUUUUCCUUAAAUAAAUGCUUUUUCUUAACCAA